RNAcentral lists this ribosomal RNA (468 nucleotides) under uncultured bacterium. Its description in RNAcentral is "partial 16S ribosomal RNA". It matches the Rfam family "Bacterial small subunit ribosomal RNA", at positions 28 to 507 of the family's 1533-position model. The record is from RNAcentral.
GACGAACGCUGGCGGCGUGCUUAACACAUGCAAGUCGAACGGAAAGGCCCUGCUUUUGUGGGGUGCUCGAGUGGCGAACGGGUGAGUAACACGUGAGUAACCUGCCCUUGACUUUGGGAUAACUUCAGGAAACUGGGGCUAAUACCGGAUAGGAGCUCCUGCUGCAUGGUGGGGGUUGGAAAGUUUCGGCGGUUGGGGAUGGACUCGCGGCUUAUCAGCUUGUUGGUGGGGUAGUGGCUUACCAAGGCUUUGACGGGUAGCCGGCCUGAGAGGGUGACCGGCCACAUUGGUACUGAGAUACGGCCCAGUAUACUACGGGAGGCAGCAGUGGGGAAUAUUGCACAAUGGGCGGAAGCCUGAUGCAGCAACGCCGCGGGCGGGAUGACGGCCUUCGGGUUGUAAACCGCUUUCGCCUGUGACGAAGCGUGAGUGACGGUAAUGAGUAAAGAAGCACCGGCUAACUACGGG